CCUACGGGAGGCAGCAGUAGGGAAUCUUCCACAAUGGACGAAAGUCUGAUGGAGCAACGCCGCGUGAGUGAUGAAGGUUUUCGGAUCGUAAAACUCUGUUGUAAGGGAAGAACAAGUACGUUAGGAAAUGAACGUACCUUGACGGUACCUUAUUAGAAAGCCACGGCUAACUACGUGCCAGCAGCCGCGGUAAUACGUAGGUGGCAAGCGUUGUCCGGAUUUAUUGGGCGUAAAGCGCGCGCAGGCGGUUUCUUAAGUCUGAUGUGAAAGCCCACGGCUUAAUCCGUGGAGGGUCAUUGGAAACUGGGAGACUUGAGUGCAGAAGAGGAAAGUGGAAUUCCAAGUGUAGCGGUGAAAUGCGUAGAGAUUUGGAGGAACACCAGUGGGGAAGGCGACUUUUCUGGUCUGCAACUGACGCUGAGGCGCGAAAGCAUGGGGAGCAAACAGGAUUAGAUACCCUGGGUAGUACCAUGCCGUAAACGAUGAGUGCUAAGUGUUAGGGGGGUUUCCGCCCUUUAGUGCUGCAGCUAACGCAUUAAGCACUCCGCCUGGGGAGUACGACCGCAAGGUUGAAACUCAAAGGAAUUGACGGGGGCCCGCACAAGCGGUGGAGCAUGUGGUUUAAUUCGAAGCAACGCGAAGAACCUUAC
RNAcentral lists this ribosomal RNA (650 nucleotides) under bacterium HN3-5-17. RNAcentral describes it as "bacterial SSU rRNA". It matches the Rfam family "Bacterial small subunit ribosomal RNA", at positions 338 to 974 of the family's 1533-position model. The record is from RNAcentral. RNAcentral also lists the same sequence under 1 other name.